RNAcentral lists this unclassified non-coding RNA (1307 nucleotides) under Zea mays. RNAcentral describes it as "misc RNA Zm00001eb019940". Lineage: Eukaryota; Viridiplantae; Streptophyta; Magnoliopsida; Poales; Poaceae. The record is from RNAcentral.
GUCUUGAUCUUGACACAGGCAGCAGGGCCAGAGAAGUCGAGAACUGUUGUGAGGAACUAGCAGGUGAGAGAUCAGGCCGGCAGCUGCAGGCGCAAGCACAUGAGGCUCGACGCCGCGCUCAGUCCGCUGUGAUCGCAGUCGCUGCGCGAAGACUUGGGCCGCUGCCUCUGCCUGACGAGCGGCUCCAGCCCGAGCGUGAGCUCCAGCGCGAGCUCCUCGUCUUCGUCGUCCUGAUGCUCCUGGUUAGCCUGCUGCUGGCUGCAGGCUGGCGGCGCGUGGCUCUGCGGCUCGGUCUCGGGCUCGGGCUCUGGCUCGGCUUGGCUCACGUGGGAGUGGGCAUGGGAAGCCGCCUCCACGUCGGUGUCCUCCUCCGACCCCUGCAGGCGGUGGUGCUGGUCGUGGUCGUGGUCGUGGCUGCCGGCGGACUCCUCGCCGUGCUCAACGACCAUGGGCACCGGCUCUUGUUCUGCCCUUUGCCUGUUCUUGCCGAGCGACGCGCGCUUACUGCUCCCGGGCUGGUUGUGCUUGGAGGAGGUGGAAGACGACGCGGCGCGCUUGCGGCUGCUGCUGCGGAGGAGGACGUCGGGCGCGGCGGCGGGGUCCCUGGCGACGUGGCGGAUGUCGUGGCGACGUGGUCCGAGCGGCGGCGAGGCGUCGGACGCGGCGUCGACCUGCACCUGCACGAUGGGGUCGCCCUUGAGCACGGCCUCGACGGCGGCCUGGCACGCCUGCCACUGGCCCGACCAGAGCAGGCCGACGGAGCCGUAGACCGGGUUGACGAUGCGGCCGCACGCCUCGUAGAGCAGGGAGCGGAAGGCGGCGGGGCGGAGGUGGUCGGCGGGCGGCGCGGCCAGCAGGUUGAGCAGCCCCGCCCGGCCGUAGAACUUGGCGAGGAAGACGGUGGCGUUGGCCUGCGCCUCGGGGGACUUGAUCCACUGCAGGCAGGGGCGGAUGGUGCAGGCGUCGCUGCAGCCCUUGCGCAGGACGCGGCAGCCGUUGCAGCUCAUCCGCAUCUCCGAUCGUCGGACUGGUGAUGAGAUGAGCUCUCGGUUGGAUGGAAUGGAACUUGGGAGGCGAGGACGUGGUGGGUGGUCGAGUCGAGGUGGUUGGUUGAAAGAACGGUGCUGAUGGAGCGGCGGCGGAGGGGUAGACGCGGGGCUGUUUUUUAUACUAAGGCACUAAGCGCACAGGCAGGCACUGGCGCAGCGCCGCGCGGAGAGUGAUUGGAGGAGCGAGCAGUGGCCAGUGUGCUGGCUUGGGCGCCUGUGGUUUCGGAAACUAAAGCGGAUUCGGCGCCGCGGGACGGG